RNAcentral lists this ribosomal RNA (482 nucleotides) under uncultured soil bacterium. RNAcentral describes it as "bacterial SSU rRNA". It matches the Rfam family "Bacterial small subunit ribosomal RNA", at positions 26 to 507 of the family's 1533-position model. The record is from RNAcentral.
AGAUUGAACGCUGGCGGCAGGCCUAACACAUGCAAGUCGAGCGGCAGCACGGGUACCUGUACCUGGUGGCGAGCGGCGGACGGGUGAGUAAUGCCUAGGAAUCUGCCUGGUAGUGGGGGAUAACGCUCGGAAACGGACGCUAAUACCGCAUACGUCCUACGGGAGAAAGCAGGGGACCUUCGGGCCUUGCGCUAUCAGAUGAGCCUAGGUCGAUUAGCUAGUUGGUGAGGUAAUGGCUCACCAAGGCGACGAUCCGUAACUGGUCUGAGAGGAUGAUCAGUCACACUGGAACUGAGACACGGUCCAGACUCCUACGGGAGGCAGCAGUGGGAAUAUUGGACAAUGGGCGAAAGCCUGAUCCAGCCAUGCCGCGUGUGUGAAGAAGGUCUUCGGAUUGUAAAGCACUUUAAGUUGGAGAAGGCAGUUACCUAAUACGUAUCUGUUUUGACGUUACGACAGAAUAAGCACCGGCUAACUCUGUG